Molecule: ribosomal RNA, 605 nt
Filed under: Elachisinidae sp. TT-2014
Lineage: Eukaryota; Metazoa; Mollusca; Gastropoda; Littorinimorpha; Elachisinidae
Description: partial 12S rRNA
Source: RNAcentral
UUUGUGCCAGCCAGUCGCGGUUAUACCCCAGUACACUUAUCGGAGGUAGCAGAAGUCUUCACUCGCUAGCCGUCUAUAUUAUUUGUGAACGCUAAUCAUGACUAGUCAGCGGUUUAAUGCGGCUAUAGAAAGUCUGUUGAUGAUGAGUUUCAUGUUCAGGUGACGCGAGUAAAACCAACUAACUAGACCCGGAUUAGAUACCCGGUUAUAGCAUGGCUGAAAUAAAAAAGGCUGGAGGAUCAAUCGAAGAACUUGGCGGUUCGAAGUGAACCUAGGGGAUCCUGGUAAUAAGGCGAGAACCCACGCUAAACCUUACCUCGGGCCACGUCGGUAUAUCGCCGUGGAGCUGCAGAAACAACUGCGUUAUGGAGUCGUUGAGUGUAUUGCAUUGACUCUCUACACAGGUUAGAUGCCACGCCCCCGAGGGAUAAGCUGGGAUACAAUUAUUCUAUAUAAACACCUAGAUCUGAAACAAUCUGUGUAUAAUAGGACUUAGAAGUAAGUAAGCUCAGAUAGGCUUACUGAAUAUGAUCAACUUUGAGCGUACAAAUCGCCCGUCACUUCCUGCGAGAGCGGGAAUAAGUCAUAACAUAGUAGGGGUAAAA